AACGAACGCUGGCGGCAUGCCUAACACAUGCAAGUCGAACGAGACCUUCGGGUCUAGUGGCGCACGGGUGCGUAACGCGGGGGAACCUGCCCUUAGGUUCGGAAUAACUCCCCGAAAGGGGUGCUAAUACCGGAUAAUGUCUUCGGACCAAAGAUUUAUCGCCUUUGGCUGGGCCCGCGUUGGAUUAGCUGGUUGGUAGGGUAAAAGCCUACCAAGGCGACGAUCCAUAGCUGGUCUGAGAGGAGGAUCAGCCACGCUGGGACUGAGACACGGCCCAGACGCCUACGGGGGGCAGCAGUGGGGAAUAUUGGACAAUGGGCGCAAGCCUGAUCCAGCAAUGCCGCGUAAGUGAUGAAGGCCUUAGGGUUGUAAAGCUCUUUUACCCGGGAUGAUAAUGACAGUACCGGGAGAAUAAGCUCCGGCUAACUCCGUG
RNAcentral lists this ribosomal RNA (433 nucleotides) under uncultured bacterium. Its description in RNAcentral is "partial 16S ribosomal RNA". It matches the Rfam family "Bacterial small subunit ribosomal RNA", at positions 29 to 507 of the family's 1533-position model. The record is from RNAcentral.